This 940-nucleotide non-coding RNA is filed under the name Oryzias dancena. RNAcentral describes it as "12S rRNA". It matches the Rfam family "Bacterial small subunit ribosomal RNA". The record is from RNAcentral. Lineage: Eukaryota; Metazoa; Chordata; Actinopteri; Beloniformes; Adrianichthyidae.
CAAAAGUUUGGUCCUGACUUUACUAUCAACUUUAGCUGAACUUACACAUGCAAGUAUCUGCACCCCCGUGAGAAUGCCCUAUAGCUUCCCCCGAGAAACAUAGGAGCUGGUAUCAGGCUCAAACAUUAGCCCACGACACCUUGCUUAGCCACACCCCUAAGGGAACUCAGCAGUGAUAAACAUUAGGCAAUAAGUGAAAACUUGACUUAAUUAAGGCUAAACAGAACCGGUUAAACUCGUGCCAGCCACCGCGGUUAUACGAGUGGUUCAAGCUGAUAGAUGACGGCGUAAAGAGUGGUUAAUUUAAUAGUUAAUAAAGUCAAAUACUCCCAAAGCUGUUAUACGCACUCGAGAGUUAGAAGAUCAAAAACGAAAGUGACUUUAAUCCAAAUGAACCCACGAAAGCUAUGAAACAAACUGGGAUUAGAUACCCCACUAUGCAUAGCCGUAAACCUUGAUGAACAUUUACUUAGUCAUCCGCCUGGGUACUACGAGCACUAGCUUAAAACCCAAAGGACUUGGCGGUGCUUUAAACCCACCUAAAGGAGCCUGUUCUAGAACCGAUAACCCCCGUUAACCUCACCCUCUCUUGUUCUUCCCGCCUAUAUACCGCCGUCGUCAGCUUACCCUGUGAAGGCUUAGUAGUAAGCAGAGUCAGUUAUACUCAAAACGUCAGGUCGAGGUGUAGCAUAUGAGAGGGGAAGAAAUGGGCUACAUUCCUUAAUUUAAGGCAUUACGGAUAAUAUGAUGAAAAGAAUAUUAGAAGGAGGAUUUAGCAGUAAGCAGAAAACAGAGAGUCCUGCUGAAACUGGCCCUAAAGCGCGCACACACCGCCCGUCACUCUCCCCGACCCAUUUUAAAAAUUAAAUAAAAGAUUUCAGGAACUAAGGGGAGGCAAGUCGUAACAUGGUAAGUGUCCCGGAAGGUGCACUUGGAAAAU